Bubalus bubalis (water buffalo) is the source of this 630-nucleotide long non-coding RNA. RefSeq lists it as uncharacterized. Lineage: Eukaryota; Metazoa; Chordata; Mammalia; Artiodactyla; Bovidae. The transcript is spliced from 4 exons. The record is from RefSeq and is a predicted model, not a curated record.
CCUGAAAACCUCUAACCCAGGUUUUGGGCAGAUGCCAGACUCUUAUUCUGAAGCCGAGGCCACAACCUAUGAGGUAAUCUUUGGAGUUGCAUUCGAGGCGGAGUCCCAUUGGCAGGUUGGCGAAGCCCCUCCCCCAGGUUCCCGGCGCCCCGCCUUCCCUGAAGCUCAUAAAAGCGCAGGUCCCCCGCCUAGGCAGCCACUGGACACCUACAACUGCCUACAGGACUGAAAGCAGGCGACGAAGACUGUGAAGUUUGACGGUCUGGAAAGCAGAGGCCAGCCGCGCUGACUAUCUGGGAGCACCGAGACUCCGGACAGCGCCGCUCGAGGUCCAGGAAGCAAGCCACAACCUGCUUCAGCACCAGAGCUCCGGACAGCUCCUAGGGAUUUCGGGGCCGACUUCAUUUCAGAACCAGGACGCUGGAUAGCUUCCCUGACAAGAAGGUGAGAUACAAGUGCACACACAAAAAAAUCUAAUUUACAACAGGUGAGAUGGACAAUCGGUAGUAUGGUGUGGGGGGGGGGGCAGGGGCCUGUCAACAUGGCAUUAGUGUCCUCUUUCCAGACUUCUGUGAGAAGCAUAGUGCCAAGCAUUUUACAUACAUAAUAUCUUGCCUUCUUUGGCCCUGG